CCCUUAGAUGUUCUGGGCCGCACGCGCGCUACACUGACGAAUGCAACGAGCUUAUAACCUUGGCCGAAAGGUCUGGGUAAUCUCCAAAUUUCGUCGUGAUGGGGAUAGAUUAUUGCAAUUAUUAAUCUUCAACGAGGAAUGCCUAGUAAGCGCAAGUCAUCAGCUUGCGUUGAUUACGUCCCUGCCCUUUGUACACACCGCCCGUCGCUACUACCGAUUGAAUGAUUUAGUGAGGACUUCGGACUGGGACCGAUGCGGCUUUCGGGCUGCGUCGGUAUUCUGGAAAGAUGUCCAAACUGUAUCAUUUAGAGGAAGUAAAAGUCGUAACA
RNAcentral lists this ribosomal RNA (329 nucleotides) under uncultured eukaryote. RNAcentral describes it as "partial 18S ribosomal RNA". It matches the Rfam family "Eukaryotic small subunit ribosomal RNA", at positions 1470 to 1796 of the family's 1831-position model. The record is from RNAcentral.